RNAcentral lists this long non-coding RNA (588 nucleotides) under Anas zonorhyncha (Eastern spot-billed duck). RNAcentral's name for it is "lncRNA (ENSAZOG00000004385.1)". The record is from RNAcentral. Lineage: Eukaryota; Metazoa; Chordata; Aves; Anseriformes; Anatidae.
CCCAGCCACCCCCUCCCCAUCCCCAACCCCUCCGCAUUUGUGUGCAAGGGGGCGCGGGGCCGUGCAAUGCACGGUGCUGCAGUCGUGCAUGGGGCUGGGCUUGCACGUCUGCAGGGGGUUGUGCUGGUGAUUGUGCACGUGGUUGUGCAUGCAAGUGUGCACAAGGCUGUGCUUGUGCAUGCGGUGGUGCUCACAGUCAUGCACACCAUUGCAUUUGUGUGUGGUAGUGCAUGCAAGUGUGCACAGGGCUGUGCUUGUGCAUGCGGUGGUGCUCACAAUCGUGCAUGCUGUUACAUUUGUGCACGGGGCUGUGCUCGUGCAUGCAGUGGUGCUCACAAUCACGCGUGCAGUUGCACUCAUGCAUGGGGCUGUGCUUGCAAGCAUGCACGGGGACGUGCUAACGAUUGUGCUUGUGACAGUGCUCACAAGUGUGCACAGGACUGUGCUUGUGCAGACAGUGGAGCUCAUGAUUGUGCACGCCAUUGCAUUCAUGCACGGGGCUGUGCUUGCACGUGUGCACGGGAACAUGCAUGUGAUGGGGCUUGCAAGUGUGCACGGGGCUGUGCUUGUGCUACGGUGGAGUGCAGG